Molecule: ribosomal RNA, 575 nt
Filed under: uncultured organism
Description: bacterial SSU rRNA
Rfam family: Bacterial small subunit ribosomal RNA
Source: RNAcentral
CAUGCAAGUCGAACGGAAAUUUGUGCUUCGGUGCAGAUUUUAGUGGCAAACGGGUGAGUAAAGUAUAAGAAUCUGCCCUUUUGAGGGGGAUAGCCACGGGAAACUGUGAGUAAUACCCCAUAAGCGCGAAAGAGGAAAUGUAGUAAUACGCUGAAGGAGGAGCUUAUAUCGGAUUAGAUUGUUGGUAGGGUAAUGGCCUACCAAGUCAGUGAUCCGUAGCUGGUCUGAGAGGAUGGCCAGCCACACUGGGACUGAGAUACGGCCCAGACUUCUACGGAAGGCAGCAGUGAGGAAUUUUGGACAAUGGGGGCAACCCUGAUCCAGCGAUGUCGCGUGGGUGAUGAAGGCCAAUCGGUUGUAAAGCCCUUUCAUCUGUGAAGAUAAUGACGGUAACAGAAGAAGAAGCUCCGGCUAACUUCGUGCCAGCAGCCGCGGUGAGACGAAGGGAGCAAGCGUUGCUCGGAAUAACUGGGCGUAAAGGGUGCGUAGGCGGUCAUUUAAGUGAUGUGUUAAAGACUUGGACUCGAUCUAGGAAAUGCAUUGCAUACUGGAUGACUUGAGUGUGGGAGAGGAAA